This 820-nucleotide non-coding RNA is filed under the name [Enterobacter] lignolyticus SCF1. Its description in RNAcentral is "Enterobacter cloacae SCF1 antisense RNA of rseC mRNA". It matches the Rfam family "antisense RNA of rseC mRNA". Lineage: Bacteria; Pseudomonadati; Pseudomonadota; Gammaproteobacteria; Enterobacterales; Enterobacteriaceae. The record is from Rfam by way of RNAcentral.
ACCUGGGCUUCCAUUUCACGAUCAGAAAGGCCACCGCAAAUCUGGAUAAUACGGUCAGACAGCGUCGACUUACCGUGGUCGAUGUGAGCAAUGAUCGAAAAGUUACGUAUAUUCUUCAUAUUAGAGUUAAUUAUGCCUUACGAAUUCCUGGAGGCCGCUGUUCUGCGCCUGACGUAUUGAUCGUUCGAAAACGCCGCAUUCUACACUACAUCUCCGUCACCAGGAAAUGCUCUUCCGGCAAGCAUAGCGGUUAGCAGAAAGGAGAUCUCGCGGCAGAUGUAAAUAAAGAUAAAAGCCAGUGAAUUCACUGGCCCAUUUCAGAAGAAGCGGUAUCGAUGCGCAGCAGUUCGGGCGGUAGGCCAACGCUUAAAAUUGUCGGCUGCAGGGCGUCACGCGCCGCCAGCUUCGGCGACAGGCCGCGGGCAAUGAGAAAACCGCCGACGCCGCCGAGCAGCGCGCCGGUCAGCGCCGCCAGAUCGCUGCCGAAGCAGAGCUGGAACAGCGCAGCGACGGUGAAAAGCCCCAGCAGCGGCGUCAUGUAAACCAGCAGCGCGGAGGUCAGCAGGCUGCCUUCGCCAAUGCCAAGCUCCACUUUUUGCCCGGCGACUAACGGCUGCGCGCUUGGCACACUGAUGGUGUGCUGGGUUUGCGGUCCGAGCUUGUUAAGCACCCGGCUGCCGCAGCCCGCGCGGGAAGCGCAGCUGCUGCAGGAAGCUUUCACGUCGCAGCUUACCUGCGCUAAGCCGUCAUGCCAGGAGAUGACGGUUGCCCACUCUUUGAUCAUGGCGAAAUUCCAGGCUUAAUGCUGUCGGCAAUGCGC